This 461-nucleotide ribosomal RNA is filed under the name Funneliformis coronatus. Its description in RNAcentral is "LSU rRNA". It matches the Rfam family "Eukaryotic large subunit ribosomal RNA", at positions 358 to 668 of the family's 3401-position model. The record is from RNAcentral. Lineage: Eukaryota; Fungi; Glomeromycota; Glomeromycetes; Glomerales; Glomeraceae.
GGAAAGAUGAAAAGAACUUUGAAAAGAGGGUUAAACAGUACGUGAAAUUGUUGAAAGGGAAACGAUUGAAGUCAGUCAUACCAACGGGAAAUCAACCUUUUGAGCUUUGUCUCGUGGGUUCGAAGAGUUUUAAACGCCUUCGGGUUCGCGAGAUUGGGAUCUUCUGGUGUACUUUCUCGUACGGUUAGUCAACAUCGGUUUUGAAUGUCAUAAAAUGACUGGAGGAAUGUAGCUUCGAUCUCGUAUCGAAGUGUUAUAGCCUUUGGUAGAUGUGAUGUUUGAGACCGAGGACUGCAACGGAUACCCUUCAUGGGCUAUUCGUCUGAUCUCUGAUACGUUGCCUUGACGUUGAAAGCUUGCUUACGAUGUUAGGGUAUUACGAUCAAAAGGUUAGAACGGAUUAAAUUCGUUAAGGAUGUUGACGUAAUGACUUUAAACGACCCGUCUUGAAACACGGACCA